Molecule: ribosomal RNA, 453 nt
Filed under: Salmonella enterica
Lineage: Bacteria; Pseudomonadati; Pseudomonadota; Gammaproteobacteria; Enterobacterales; Enterobacteriaceae
Description: partial 23S ribosomal RNA
Rfam family: Bacterial large subunit ribosomal RNA
Source: RNAcentral
AUCAGAAGUGCGAAUGCUGACAUAAGUAACGAUAAAGCGGGUGAAAAGCCCGCUCGCCGGAAGACCAAGGGUUCCUGUCCAACGUUAAUCGGGGCAGGGUGAGUCGACCCCUAAGGCGAGGCCGAAAGGCGUAGUCGAUGGGAAACGGGUUAAUAUUCCCGUACUUGGUGUUACUGCGAAGGGGGGACGGAGAAGGCUAUGUUGGCCGGGCGACGGUAGUCCCGGUUUAAGCGUGUAGGUGUGUGUUCCAGGUAAAUCCGGUUCACUUUAACACUGAGGCGUGAUGACGAGGCACCACGGUGCUGAAGCAACAAAUGCCCUGCUUCCAGGAAAAGCCUCUAAGCAUCAGGUAACAUCAAAUCGUACCCCAAACCGACACAGGUGGUCAGGUAGAGAAUACCAAGGCGCUUGAGAGAACUCGGGUGAAGGAACUAGGCAAAAUGGUGCCGUAAC